Non-coding RNA from Solanum lycopersicum (tomato), 407 nucleotides. The record is from RefSeq and is a predicted model, not a curated record. NCBI's taxonomy places the organism in Eukaryota, Viridiplantae, Streptophyta, Magnoliopsida, Solanales, Solanaceae.
CACACUGGGUGGAAAACCAAAAAAAGAGAGAAAAGCUUAUUACCCCCUCACCAUUUUCUCUUCUUGUGUAAUCUAAAAGAAAACAAAAUUCACUGGUCACAACAACCCCCAACUAAUGAAACAGCACAGCAAAGCAACAGGCCGGCGAAGAAGGAUAAUCUAGAAGGAUAUGGAGACAAGAAGACAUGGCUAAUGAUGAAGAAAGCGGAAAUAUGAUUGUUUGAGUUUUGAUUGACGCUUUUUGUCGAACAGGUGGAGUGCGUUUUGGGUUUUAAUCGAAAUACACAUGGAUCCAAUGAGAAUGUAUGUGGCUUCGGGUUCUGUGAGGAGCUACUCUUCUAUUUUUAUCUAUUUCAACAUUCAUAUUAAAAUUCGAUACAUAUUUUAAUAUUUAUAUUAAAAUUUAA